This 482-nucleotide ribosomal RNA is filed under the name uncultured bacterium. RNAcentral's name for it is "partial 16S ribosomal RNA". It matches the Rfam family "Bacterial small subunit ribosomal RNA", at positions 30 to 507 of the family's 1533-position model. The record is from RNAcentral.
AUUGAACGCUGGCGGCAUGCCUUACACAUGCAAGUCGAACGGUAACGGGCCUUCGGGUGCCGACGAGUGGCGAACGGGGGAGUAAUACAUCGGAACGUGCCCGACCGUGGGGGGUAACGAGGCGAAAGCUUUGCUAAUACCGCAUACGAUCUACGGAUGAAAGCAGGGGACCGCAAGGCCUUGCGCGGACGGAGCGGCCGAUGGCAGAUUAGGGAGUUGGUGGGAUAAAAGCGUACCAAGCCGACGAUCUGUAGCUGGUCUGAGAGGAUGAUCAGCCACACUGGGACUGAGACACGGCCCAGACUCCUACGGGAGGCAGCAGUGGGGAAUUUUGGACAAUGGGCGCAAGCCUGAUCCAGCCAUGCCGCGUGCAGGAUGAAGGCCUUCGGGUUGUAAACUGCUUUUGUACGGAACGAAAAGCCUUCUUUUAAUACAGGAGGGUCAUGACGGUACCGUAAGAAUAGGCACCGGCUAACUACGUG